AACAGGUCGAGAACUCUAGAUUUUCUGACGUCAGAAUAUAUUUGCAUAGUAAUUUCCAAAACACAAGGCCAAUAUGGCCUUGAAAAACUGACCAAUCGACUCAAUGAACUACAAUGCAUUGUGGGCUACUACGAGUAAACUACUACUUAAAACACGUGGAAUUAGUGGGAAAACAGUCAAUUAAUAUAUUGUCUGGGACUCUCAUUACCAAAGUUUUUAUUCUGCAAAUAUAUUUAAUGUAAAAUAUAUAACGUAAUCUUCAAUUUGCAUGCUCAGAUUAAAAAAAUAUUGUUUAUUGGCUUCACGAUUCGACUUUCUUUUUCGCCUUGCAAAAGUAGUUGAACCGGUUUUGUGCAUUGUUAUGAAUUGAACCUGCAUUAAUUUCACGACAUGACACAGUGAAAUAUCCAAUGAAGUGACCACUGUCCAGUAAGAAAAUCAUUUGAGCUCUUUUAAACCUGUAUAAUGUCAUUGCAAAAUCAUUUCUGCCUAGAAAAACACGAAACUUUCAUUGAAACACUUCUUUCUGUACUGAAUGUGUAUUUUUUUUUUAUCAGGACCUGAACUAAUAGUAAGAACAUCAUAAUAUUCAGUAUGCUAAAAAGAAGUGUUAUGAAAGCGGCAGGGGCGGGUCCAGCCAUUUUAAAAAGGGGGUCCUAACCCUGGACAAAAGGGGAGGGGGUUCCAACUACAUGUCCCCAUCCAAAUGCACUGAUCGUCCAAAAAAAGGGGUCCAUCCCCCGGAACCCCCGCCCCCUGGAUCCGCCACUGAGCGGGUACGGUAUAUAGCUCAAUACAUUUUUUAUAGUUUUCAUCCAUCGAUAAUAUCCGUUUGUUGCUAAUUUUAUCACAAAAUAUACCUCAGAGGUUUUUUUUAUCGUUCGGCUGCUGUCCUGUUGACAUAUGUAAAAUAUCUCCAAUAUUAAAAGUCUCUGGAUCAUAGUGGGUGCCAUAUUACCUAUUAUUUUUUUUCUAAAACGUGCUUUGUAUAUAGAAAUAAGAAGAUGAGGUAUGAGUGCCAAAUGAGACAUCUUUCCAACAAAGACAUAAUUUAGUAAAGUAAGCAGUCAUAGGUCCAAUGCUGAAAAGUAAGCUAUUAAUGACCCAAAAAUUACUUGUGUAAAAACAAUCCAAACAAAAAAAAAAAAACAAAAAAAACGGCCCAAUUAAAUAUAUAAAAGGACAAGAAAUCUAUCCCAUCAAAAAAAAAUAUAUUGUAUAGGAGCCUGUAUUUCAGUGGUUGUCGUUUGUUUAUGUGUUACAUAUUUGUUUUUCGUUCAUUUUUUUUUAUAUAAUUAAGGCCGUUAGUUUUCUCGUUUGAAUUGUUUUACAUUGUCAUAUCGGGGACUUUUAUAGCUGACUAUGCGGUAUGGGCUUUGCUCAUUGUUGAAGGCCGUACGGUGAUCUAUAAAUGUUAAUUUCUGUGUCAUUU
RNAcentral lists this long non-coding RNA (1432 nucleotides) under Mytilus galloprovincialis (Mediterranean mussel). The record is from RNAcentral. Lineage: Eukaryota; Metazoa; Mollusca; Bivalvia; Mytilida; Mytilidae.